UACUUCCGUUCCGCACGAGCGCCUAUCUGGGCCGCUUGGGCCUAAUCAUCAUCACAAUACAUCGUUCGCUCAUCCAACACCCCUCCCGUCGAUUCCUCCCGCACACAGCGCCCUGACGCCUCUCCCUUCCCUGUACCGAACAACAGGAAACCCUCGCGCAGCCGCCGCUCCUCCCUCGCAUAUCGUGCACCGCCGCUCGAAGACCCCUCCACCCCCAGUGCUCGCCGACGACCCCUCGUGCGCAAACCUCCUUCCGCCGUUCCUCGUCCUCCGCGCGGUGCCACCGCUAGCGCCCCGUGCUCUCCACGAUCUGCAUCUCGCCGGUGGCCACGCCUUCACGGAGUUCCGCGACUCGGCGCCGUCCUCCGACAGUACCGAUGGCGCCGCCACGGACGAGGCCGGGGAGCUCGACUUCGAUGCCCGUUGACGGCCGUGGCGGCGCGCUGGUGCCACAUGGACGAUGCUCGUGCUGGCUCCGUCCUCCUGCCUCUCGCCUCCCUCCUCUGCCUCAUUUCAGUUCUCUUUUUUCAGUUCUUUUGUUGGGGUCAGGAAUAUCUGCUGCAGCUUAUAACGACGGACCCCUUCAUAUUUCUCUACAGGAAGAAGCUACAGGCCAGUUUCUAGCUCUAUUGUUUCUGAAAGUCAGGCUGCAAGAUGCGAAGUCUUGUGAGUGCUGCAAGAGAUACUGGACCCAUUUGAAUGGAAAGGUCAAUUGUUUUGUCACGUAGCUGGACAGAAAGUCUAGGCAUAGCAUGAUAAGCAUAAUGGAUUGCUUGUUCAUCUGACUCGAUUGCAAUGAGAACUGUUUUAACGCUAUUUUUUCUAACAAAUUAACAUUUUUGCAGGUCAUACCAGAGAGCUUUUUGAACUAUUGUGUAUGGAAGUUGUCAAGAACCAUCAAACUAGAAGCCCAUGAUGAUAAUGUAUACGAUGUCGGAAUCACUGAGCUUAGAAACAAAACAAUACUCAGAUCUGGAUGGGAGGCAUUUGUCGAUGCCCAAUCGUAUAGCAGAGAAAGGCUCGUUGAUGUUCCGAUACUGUGGAAGUGCUCGCUUCAAGGUCUUGUUCUUUGAUUCCAGUGGUUGUGAGAAAGUGGUGUUCUGUGCUCGCAUACAGAGCAAUAGUGGUGAGCAAGAACCAAGCACAUAUUCUUAGGACGUGGAGGAUCAGAUGGAUGCCAGAGUGGAAGCUCUAUCUAUUGAAGAAAACGAGCAAAGAAAGAUGCACUUUCUCCAUCUAGGAGAAGACAGUCCUCAUGAGCGUGACUCUGAUGAGUCGGAUGAACACACAAUCCAUUAGAUUUUUCUCAAAAUAGGAGUGUAUAGCCUAAUUAUCUUGAAAAAUACCCCAUCAUUAGCUUUCUUCUCAAGAUACAUUUGUUCUGAUAGAUAAUUGAAUAUUGUUGUUUGUGCAUGUUCCAUGAAAAUAAGCGACCGUAAAAUUUUCGAACCUAUUAUCUGAAGUACUUGCUCACCUAGACCAUCCGUAAUUUGAUAAUAAACAUUAUCUGGUUUCAUGCUCCAUGAUGCAUUUCAUACUAGAAAGCCUAUUUCACUUUGCAUGUAGCUUGCUUCACAUACUUGAUGUAAGAUAUCAUAGCAGAGUGCAUCUUACAUUUUGAUGUCUUAAAAGGUGUAUCAUCGCAAUGGUAAACUUUGUUGCAUCAUACUAGAAGAAUGACACCAUCGAGUUUCAAAAGAUCUUAAAGGUCAGUGUUCUUUAACAUAUGUUUUGCGCUUGACUGCAGCAAUCCUAAACCCUUCAUUUAUUUGUUCACUGAUUCUUCUAGAAUUGUUGCAACCAUUCUUAUUAAAUCUUACAAACAGAGGUGUUAACGAUCACACAACAUGUUUGGUGCAUGCCAUAAACUUAUGUGGUACCGGGGAAAUGCUUCUUACGACCACCACCCCCACUAAUUUCCCCGAGUUAAGACCAGAUAUGAGGUUGAAUAUAAAUGUGUAGGAACUCAAUGAUAUGAAUCCAAACAUUUCAAAAGUUUUGAAAGUAAUGAUCCUUUGUCAAUAGCAGGCAAGAAGCUUCUGAUUAUUAGAAACAGUUUGACGGACUUCAACAACAAUGUCUACUAUCUUCCAUCCAUCUUGUCAUCAUGUUUCCUCGACUACUUUAAUGUCUAAUGAAAUAAAUAAAAAUACGUUUUUUUUGUAAGAAAGAGGGUAGCGUUGGGGCUAAAUACCCUUCUCUGUUAUUCUUACUGAAACUAAAGGUGCAACCAGCCCUUCAUGUAAUGGCAAAUGUCACUGCAAUUAGAUAAGAUGGGGGUAUACUUGCAGAUGAUCUAGCUCAGUAUUCUGUAAAAUGUAACUUGAUUUACAUGCUGAUGUGAUAAUGCGGGUGUUGAAGAAUAUGAUUAGUCUCACCAGGUGUGAUGAGCAUAUGCACUUGCAUGUGUUAAAGAACAGUGUAUCUAAAAUAUUUUUGUUGAUCAAUCAUUAUUUUUGGCUUGCCUCUGAUUUAUGCUCUUUCUUGUGCUUUCUUAGUAACAGAGUUUUUACGGUUUUUCCAUCGAUGAUAUUAUCAGUACAAACAUUUAGAAUGUUAAAAACCUCAUAUGGAACACUAUCAUGAACUUGGAUCCAUUUCUCUUGCAAGUGCGAAGAAAAUCCACUGUCUACAGUAUUGUCAGUUGUCACAAUGCACAAAACUUGGCAGGCCACACUAGAUAUCUGGUGUAAUGGUGGAUUAUUGAGCAAUAAUCUUCAAGGUGAACAGUCUAAUAUUUCAUUCACAUGUUAUUUUGAGAAAAUGGUUGUUAAAAAUAUGAUUAGCCCACCAGGUUCGAUGGCCAUAUGCAUUUGCAGGCGUUGUAGAAAAAAAUGUUUAAUGUGCUCGGAGAGCAAUACCCAUAUACCUAUGAUGAGAUAAUAUAAUGGAUCGUACCUCAACUUAUUUACCAUGGUGUUUGGAAUUAUUUCGAACUUGUGUGUAACCUGCCAUCUAUGCAAGUUACUCAGGCACAACUAGCUCUAGAGGUUUUUGUUUUUCUAAUUUGUAUGCAUGCUAUUAUGUUUUUUUCAGCAAAUUAUUUAUCAUCAGAACUAACAUGGCUACUGUUAUGUAUUCACAAUACCAUGUUAGGCUUGUGACUUUUGAAGGGGUCAAGAUGUUAGGCUCGAACUUCACAUUCUGCAAUACCAUAACCUCAAGGCACUCAUCUGCUUUAUUUUACCAUGCCCUAUAAAUUAGUUUCCAUGAUUAGUCAUAUGUUUCCUUUUACUAGAGAUGAGGGAUCCCCGUGUUUCCUUUUUACUGAUAUACCAAUCAGAUAUUCGCUCAGAUGCUUGUGAUAAGUAUCUAUUUGAGGCUUCUUCUCAUUGCCACCGCUGUUUCUUGGAAAAAACACGUUUUUUUUUUUUUGCUUUAACCAUGAUGCUUGUUGGAGUUUUGGAGUCAAGUUCACUUGCUCGGGAGUUUAGCAAAGUGCAAGAAGCAACAGUCUCCAUUUUCAGGAUUAUCGAUAGGAUAUCCAAGAUUUACAUAAGGUCAAAGGUAGGAACAAUACUAGACAGAGUGAAAGGGAAUAUAUAGAGUUGGAUCUUCACAUGUUUGUGCUUUAGGAUACCAUUUUGAAAUAUGCGUUUGGUUACAUGAAAAUAUAUGAGUAGUAACUCUUACUGUUAGUUGUACGGUAAUUUUGAUAAGUUUAAGUUCAUGAAAGAAUACAACCAAAUCUUUUUUUAAUUCUAUAUAUAUUAAAUAUAGAAUAUUUUCUUACCGUGCGUGUACCUUCCCUUGCAGCUUAUGUAAUCACUU
This is a non-coding RNA of Lolium perenne, 3771 nucleotides long. NCBI's taxonomy places the organism in Eukaryota, Viridiplantae, Streptophyta, Magnoliopsida, Poales, Poaceae. The record is from RefSeq and is a predicted model, not a curated record.